Long non-coding RNA from Sinocyclocheilus grahami, 250 nucleotides. RefSeq lists it as uncharacterized. The record is from RefSeq and is a predicted model, not a curated record. The transcript has 3 exons. NCBI's taxonomy places the organism in Eukaryota, Metazoa, Chordata, Actinopteri, Cypriniformes, Cyprinidae.
UUUAAACAUUCUUCGAAACAUUUGGGAUAAUAGACCAACUCAUCUGAGCUCCCGAGAGCGGUGCAUUGUGGGUAAUGCGUCCCUGUGCACGUUUCGUAUCCAGCAUGGCAGGGAAAAACAAGAGGAACUUGAAGGAUCUCAGCGUGGAUGAGUUCAUGUUAUCUGGGUUUGAUUCCGAUGAGGAAGAUGCUUGUGAGGAUGAGGAAUCAACACAACAGAAAGGGAAGAUGAAGAAACCUGCACCUCAGAA